Molecule: signal recognition particle RNA, 97 nt
Filed under: Actinomycetales bacterium
Lineage: Bacteria; Bacillati; Actinomycetota; Actinomycetes; Actinomycetales
Description: signal recognition particle sRNA small type
Rfam family: Bacterial small signal recognition particle RNA
About the family: The signal recognition particle (SRP) is a universally conserved ribonucleoprotein involved in the co-translational targeting of proteins to membranes.
Source: RNAcentral
GCAGACCCCUCGUGCGGCGUCACCCCGCUGAACUCCCCCAGGGCCGGAAGGCAGCAAGGGCAGGUGGGCUCUGGCGGGUGCGCGAGGGGUCCUCCGC